RNAcentral lists this ribosomal RNA (484 nucleotides) under uncultured bacterium. RNAcentral's name for it is "partial 16S ribosomal RNA". It matches the Rfam family "Bacterial small subunit ribosomal RNA", at positions 30 to 507 of the family's 1533-position model. The record is from RNAcentral.
AUUGAACGCUGGCGGCAGGCCUAACACAUGCAAGUCGAGCGGAUGAGUGGAGCUUGCUCCAUGAUUCAGCGGCGGACGGGUGAGUAAUGCCUAGGAAUCUGCCUGGUAGUGGGGGACAACGUUUCGAAAGGAACGCUAAUACCGCAUACGUCCUACGGGAGAAAGUGGGGGAUCUUCGGACCUCACGCUAUCAGAUGAGCCUAGGUCGGAUUAGCUAGUUGGUGAGGUAAAGGCUCACCAAGGCGACGAUCCGUAACUGGUCUGAGAGGAUGAUCAGUCACACUGGAACUGAGACACGGUCCAGACUCCUACGGGAGGCAGCAGUGGGGAAUAUUGGUCAAUGGGCGAAAGCCUGAUCCAGCCAUGCCGCGUGUGUGAAGAAGGUCUUCGGAUUGUAAAGCACUUUAAGUUGGGAGGAAGGGCAGUAAGUUAAUACCUUGCUGUUUUGACGUUACCAACAGAAUAAGCACCGGCUAACUUCGUG